GACAACCAAAGAACAAUACAUGCAAUUGAUUUAUAAGCAUAAAUCAAAUAUAACAUUUUUCUUAACAAUUCAUUGAUAACUCAAGUACAUUAGCGCACCAGAUGAUAACACAAGAAGUUGAUGAAAUUCAAACACUCAAGGUUAUACAAAUACAAAUACAACUCAAAUUGGAUAUUAGACAUACCAAUUCAAGGCAAUGCAGUGAGUCUGGCCUCAAACACAAAUCCCCUCCAAAGCCCAUCUCCACCCCCUGGCGCCCCAUCAAUCCACCUCCAACAAUUCUUUUCUCCACCACAAUCAACCCAUAGCGCCAAUUUGCCCACCCUCUUGGCAGAGAAACAAACUCUAUCCCCACCACCAAACACCUUCAACUUACUAGACUCCUGGAAACACCUGUACAUCUCCACAGGCAUUCUCCCAGCCUCUUCCCAUUCUAAUCUCUCCAAAUCCAACCUCAAUAUCAAUAUCGUCGAACACGAUGGGUUCAACGAGAACGUCGAUUUCAAACCUCCAACCAUCAACAGCUUAUUCCCGUUCCCACGAACCAAACGAGGCCGUUUUAUGAUAUCGAAGAGAUCCGCCCACUCGUGCUUCUCCAAGCAAACCCAGUGGUUUUGAUUCGAUGAAGAUGACGAGGACGACGAUGUGCUGCUGGUUUUGAGGUUGUUGGGAUAAUUGAGACUAGAGAGUUUGCAAGUAAAGAGCUUCCAUUGGGACCUCCAGGGAGACCCAACAUCGCAUAAAGCAAAAACCGAGUUCGAAACUAAAAUUGGGCUUCUGGGUUUUGAUGGGAGAUUUGAAGAGAAGGUUAGCCAAGAAUUUGCGUUCGUGUUUGAUAAGUAUAAAGCCGCGAGUUCCAUGAGUACCAUGACUCGGCUCGCCGAGUCAACCAGGACAGCGCCGUGUCUCGACCAGGCCGAACCCAGCUGAGGUAACACCUUGAAUCGGCCAGUCAACGGGUUGCAAACCACGAGCGACUUGCUUGACUCGGUCGAGUUGGGCGAGUCACCCCAUAAAUAAACGAGUCCACCAGCUGAUGCCACAGGGUGAGGAGACCUGAAAGGUAAAAAGCUUAGAUUAAAUCUGAGCCACUGGCUUUGGUCAGGGUCGUAAACGUGAAGGGAGGGCAGAAGCGACAGGUGGCUAUGAUGACGGUGGUGGUGGUGGUGGUGGUGAUGGUGGUGAGGGGGCCGUAGAGCAAGGAAACGAAGAGGGGGUUGGGUGGAGAUAAGGUCCAAGAAAGAAGGCGAAGUCAAAAUCUGAUUAAAGAACUUGCAGACUGACCGGCAGAUCAUGAUUUGCCGAAGCGGAAGAGAGGAGAAGAUCUGGUGGAGCGUAUCCUGGGGCAAUCUGUUGAUCGGCGACGAAUCCAUUUGUUUUGGAUGGACCGGCGAUGCAGCGGAUCACCCAAAAAGGGUGGGAGACAACAGAAGAAUUGGAUGGGAGAGAAAAUGGAUGUGGUGUUGCCGUUUUGGUGCGACUCCUUGUCUGAGUUCAUACAGUUAGCGCCUCUUUUUUUUGUCGAUUAAAAAGUUGUAUUUCUG
RNAcentral lists this unclassified non-coding RNA (1544 nucleotides) under Hevea brasiliensis (rubber tree). Lineage: Eukaryota; Viridiplantae; Streptophyta; Magnoliopsida; Malpighiales; Euphorbiaceae. The record is from RNAcentral.